UUGUAAGAUACGAUUAUGAUUGAAAUCCAAUUUCACUGGUGCAAGCACGAGGUCGAGGUCGUGCAGAAAACAGCCGUUUCUAUGUGCUAGCCUCUGCAGAUAAGUGUGUUGCUGAAAGAGAGUGUGUAAAUACUUUAAAAGAACCCAUGAUAGAAAAAGCAAUGAAAAAAGUACAACUAGAGAUUGAUUCCAACCACGAUGUGUUCUUUAAAAAGCAACAAGAGUUUCAGAAACUCGCUAAAAGGGAACGCGAUGCAGCAAAGCAUAACAAGGAAAGAAGAGUCGUAGAAAUUGGGCAAUAUUGCCUAAGGUGCUUGAAAUGCAAUGCUUUCUUGUGUAUGUCGAGCGAGUUAAGGAGUAUACUAAAUGCUCAUCAUACUUGUAUAAGUGAAUAUUUUAAAAAUAGCAUUUUCGGGAAAAAAUAUUCCAAAGCAGCUUAUCCUGGAAAGGAUAUCGAGAUGGGAGUCGGUCAUAUAUCCUGCAAAGAAUGCCUUGUAAAACUGGGAACCAUCGCUCUCUAUAAAGAUGUAUUUUUUCCUGUUUUAAGUAUCGGAGCAUUGAAAAUCGAAGAAGAUUUGGAGCGAAGAGAUACAUUAAAAAAAUGGAAAUUGGUGAAAAGAUAUUUAAAGGUGCCUGAAUUGACAACGGAUGAUCUUGAAAGUGUUGCAAAGUUUGGAAGGCUUAUCGAAUUUUGAAAGUAUUCUAAAACAGAUUGCCACAAAGAAGUCUAAAUAUUUGAUGGUUUACUUUUUUUUUUACAUGUAUUAAUUCAGCUUUCUUAAGCUUACUUUAUUGACAUUUUUAUA
Molecule: long non-coding RNA, 806 nt
Organism: Saccostrea echinata
Lineage: Eukaryota; Metazoa; Mollusca; Bivalvia; Ostreida; Ostreidae
Exons: 3
Source: RefSeq, a predicted model, not a curated record